Molecule: long non-coding RNA, 1782 nt
Organism: Cryptomeria japonica (Japanese cedar)
Lineage: Eukaryota; Viridiplantae; Streptophyta; Pinopsida; Cupressales; Cupressaceae
Exons: 4
Source: RefSeq, a predicted model, not a curated record
GAUGCCUUCAUCUGGGUUCACAAUGGGAAUGCUUUGGGUUGCAGGGGUUUUAUUUUGCAUUGCAGCCUUGGCUUCCGCAGAUCCCCGGUUCGAAUCCACCCGCUGAAAACACACGCUACCGUUAAAAAACUCGCUCCAUAGAUAGAUAGAUAUUGCAGCUGAAAAAAGCAUGCUACUGGUUCGAAUCCACCCGUUGAAAAAACAUGCUAACGUUAAGAUAUUGCAGUUGAAAAAAAGCAUGCUACCGUUAAUAAACGCGCUCCAUAGAUAGACAUUGCAGCUGAAAAAAGCAUGCUACCGUUAAAAAAAACACGCUCCUAUUCUUUAACCUAUUAUAUAUUCGCAAUGUUCAGAGUCAUCUGGGGAGGAAUGUUCAGUAUUUCCCUGCCUACAUUGAUUUUGUAUGUACUAGCUAUGCGGACUCUUCUGGUUAUUGCUGCUCCAAGACCAUAGUGAGCAUAGAGAUGAAAGAUUUUAGGGAAUUGAAUUUAUAGAUUCUUGGUAUAGGGCUCGAUGCCCUUUCCUGCAAGGGGGUGAAUUUGCCAUUUGGUGUGCCCUAUCUGCGGAGGAAUGUUGUCCGAGAGAGUGAUGCCUCCAACGCCUCAGAGGUCAUCCGCAUCACCAAUCAUCUGCGGAGAAAUGUUGACUGAUUUCGGAAAGGGAGAACCAGUAUGUGUAUUAGCCUAUUAUGGUAGCCGUGGACCAACAAAAUUUGCAGAGGUAGAAGAAUGCUCAGCCAAUAUAAGGGAGGGCAGGAACCAAAUUACUGAAGCUUAAAUCUCUGAAAAUGGAAGCAUGUUGUAUGCAUUGCUGGAGAUGGUGUAGCUCCAGGAAGACAGCAAUGAUGUGGAUAAUAUAAAGCAGGCAUUUAGCAAAUGGCUACUUAUGCUAAAAGUGGAGUGAAUUUUAAAAUAAAUUAAAAUUUGGUGUGAACUUCAAUUUAUAUAUAUUUAAUAGUAACGUUAAUACACAAAAUCUUUGUUGCAUUCACAUUGAUGUUAACAGUUUGAUUGUUGCAGUCAGAUUCACUUUAGUGACUUAAUAAAUGUUUAGAAAGCUCUGUUCACAUCAGAUUCUAUUUUGUUGGUUUCUUUGUCCAUCAUUCUAUGUUUUUUGUUUUUUUUCUUUGCUUUCAUUCUGUUUUUGUUUGGCAUGGCCAUGCCGCCUCUGCUUUUAUUUUGUCUCUGAGUUUUACUCUAAUAUGUUUGGUAUGUGUUUUUCUUUUGUAAUUUUUUGUGUAGAUUGUUUUUAAAUUUUUUUUUGGUAUUUUGUAUUUGUCUCUUUUUGUGGGUGGUGAUUUUUCAGGCAGCAGCGAGGAGGAGGAGGAGGAGGAGGAGAAACAACGAAGCACAACUACAUAUCACAAGCACCAAGAAAUACAAUAGUAUUGACGAUAAGGAAGAUGAUGAGGAAAUAGCCAAGCAGCUAGCGAAAGCUAUACAAGUCUGUUUAUUUGAAGUCCCAAAUAAACGGAGAGCAGCCACAUACUGAUCAAGUGUGCAACAUUAGAUAAUGUUUGGAUCUGGUUCAAGCGUUCGAUGUGGCAGAAGUAGUUGGCAUUCUUUGAUUACUAUAAUGAUAAAUACCUUCACCAUGUCUGUAGAAUGAUGCCUAGAGUGCAAAGUGAUACCUAGAGUUUCUCAAUUGUUAUUGAAGUCAAUGCAGAGCAAAUUUUAAUUUUACUACUUAUUUGUAAAUGGAUAUGUAAAUAGAUUUGUUGUUUAAUAAAUUUUUUUUUGGGAGGGGUUGAAUUUGCCCCCUCCUCAAGGCUGCAGAGAAUGG